Molecule: ribosomal RNA, 433 nt
Filed under: uncultured bacterium
Lineage: Bacteria
Description: partial 16S ribosomal RNA
Rfam family: Bacterial small subunit ribosomal RNA
Source: RNAcentral
AGCGAACGCUGGCGGCAGGCCUAACACAUGCAAGUCGAACGAACCUUUCGGGGUUAGUGGCGGACGGGUGAGUAACACGUGGGAACGUGCCUUUAGGUUCGGAAUAACUCAGGGAAACUUGUGCUAAUACCGAAUGUGCCCUUCGGGGGAAAGAUUUAUCGCCUUUAGAGCGGCCCGCGUCUGAUUAGCUAGUUGGUUGAGGUAAUGGCUCACCAAGGCGACGAUCAGUAGCUAGUCUGAGAGGAUGAUCAGCCACAUUGGGACUGAGACACGGCCCAAACUCCUACGGGAGGCAGCAGUGGGGAAUCUUGCGCAAUGGGCGAAAGCCUGACGCAGCCAUGCCGCGUGAAUGAUGAAGGUCUUAGGAUUGUAAAUUCUUUCACCGGGGACGAUAAUGACGGUACCCGGAGAAGAAGCCCCGGCUAACUUCGUG